GGUUGGAUAAGGAGCAUUUAUGUUUUGGUUAUAGUAGAUAUUUUUUAAUAAAAGCUUUAUCAUUUUUCAGCAAGAACAUCAGAAGAGAAUGGCUGCUGCUGAUGAUAAGAGUGAUGAAGAUGGAAAUGCAUCUGAUAAUAACAGUAAAUUGGUUAAAGACCCAAGAACUGUAUCUGGCGAUGAUCUUGGGGACGAUCUUGAGGAGGUGCUUAGAACUAAGAUGGAUUGGAUUGGCGAGAUUUUGAGAAGGAAAGAAAAUGAACUUGAGAGUGAAGAUGCUGCUUCUAGUGGGGAUUCAGAGAGUGACGAGGACGAUGGUGAGGAAUGAGGAUGAAGGAAGUGACGAUGGGGAAGAUGAAGGAAGUGACGAGUAUGAUGAAGAACAAGGAAAGACACAGACUAUUAAGGACUGGGAGCAAAGUGACGAUGAUAUUAUUGAUACCGAGCUAGAGGAUGAUGACAAAGGCUUUGGUGAUGAUGGUAAGAAGGUGGUGAAAAUAAAGGGCCAUAAGGAGGUAUCCAUCAAGGGAAAACAAGUUGGCACUUUACAAACCGAAAAAGAAAAAGUGAACGUGAAGCAUCGGCAAAACGAACUUCCCUAUACAAUUGAAGCCCCCAAAACCCUUGAGGAGUUUAAUUCAUUGAUAGACAAUUGUUCUGAUGAUCAAGUUAUGGAAGCAAUUAGGAGAAUUCGUGCAUUCAAUGCAAUAACUGUCGCAGCAGAGAAUAAAAAGAAAAUGCAAGUUUUUUACGGGGUAUUGCUGCAAUAUUUCGCUGUGUUGGCAAAUAAGAAGCCAUUGAAUUUCAAGCUUUUAAAUAUGCUUGUAAAGCCGCUGAUGGAGAUGAGUGCAGCGACUCCAUACUUUGCAGCGUGCUCGCCAAAGGCUACAAAGGACAAGGGCACAGUUUUGUGAAGAUCUUAAGAAUACAGGAAAAAGCAGUUGGCCAUCUUUGAAGACCAUCUUUCGGUUGAGGCUUUGGUCCAUGAUAUUUCCAUGCUCUGAUUUUCGCCAUUGUGUCAUGACUCCUGCUAUACUACUAAUGUGUGAAUACCUUAUGCGGUGUCCCAUCAUUUGUGGAAGAGAUAUUGCAAUUGCUUCCUUCUUGUGCUCUUUGCUUCUAAGUAAUGAUCAUAUGAACUUAGUUCUCCAAGCUUAUGGAUAUCAACUUCUUGCCCUGAGGCUAUAGUAUUUAUUCAAACUUUGCUGAUGGCGGCUUUAGACAGAAAACAGCGGUCUAAUUCCCAGUUGGAGAUCAAGGAACUUGGGUCUUUGCUUUGUAUACGCAGUAGCAAAGUGGAGAUGGAUUCUUUAGAUUUUCUUACGCUGAUGGACUUACUAGAGGACUCUCAGUAUUUCCACAUAACUACAGGGCCAGCAUGCCUGUAGCAGUUCUGGAAUCACUGCAAGGAUUUGUAAAUCUAUAUAAGGAACUUAUUUCUUUUCCUGAGAUUUUCAUGCCAAUUUCAAAAUUAUUAUGCAAAUUGGUUGGAGAAAAUCAUAUUCCAGAUGCAUUAAGGGAGAAAAUCAAGGAUUUUUCCCAAUUAAUUGACACGAAGGCUCAGGAUCAUUACAUGCUGCGUCAACCACUGAAAAAGCGGAAGAAAAAGCCCAUGUCCAUCAGGAUGCUUAAUCCGAAAUUUGAGGCGAACUUUGUCAAGGGUAGAGAUUAUGACCCAGAUCGUGAGCAUGCUAAAACGAAAAAGUUGAAGAAACGUCUGAAACAUGAAGCUGAAGGUCCUGCGCGUGAACUGUUCAAGGAUAAUAGGUUCUUGGCCGAGGCGAAGGAAAGAGAAAAGGCCCUACUAGCCGCAGAAAAGUCUGAGAAACAUGGGAAAAAUCUUGCUUUUCUUCAAGAACAAGAGCAUGCAUUUAAAUCAGGGCAAUUGGGAAAGGGCCGGAAGAGAAGAAAAUGAAAUUAGCUUUUGGUUGUCGCUUGGAAAAUCUUAUUGUCAAAUGCUUCCUGGUUUUUGAUGUUGGAUGUUAAUAUUGCUGUGAUCGACCGAAGUUGGAUUUGAAGAUGUACAUGCGUUUCAGUUGUAGUUGCCUCUUGUUCAUGGU
Molecule: non-coding RNA, 2060 nt
Organism: Nicotiana tabacum (common tobacco)
Lineage: Eukaryota; Viridiplantae; Streptophyta; Magnoliopsida; Solanales; Solanaceae
Source: RefSeq, a predicted model, not a curated record